AGUGAACGCUGGCGGUAGGCCUAACACAUGCAAGUCGAACGGCAGCACAGUAAGAGCUUGCUCUUACGGGUGGCGCGUGGCGGACGGGUGAGGAAUACAUCGGAAUCUACUUUUUCGUGGGGGAUAACGUAGGGAAACUUACGCUAAUACCGCAUACGACCUACGGGUGAAAGCAGGGGAUCUUCGGACCUUGCGCGAUUGAAUGAGCCGAUGUCGGAUUAGCUAGUUGGCGGGGUAAAGGCCCACCAAGGCGACGAUCCGUAGCUGGUCUGAGAGGAUGAUCAGCCACACUGGAACUGAGACACGGUCCAGACUCCUACGGGAGGCAGCAGUGGGGAAUAUUGGACAAUGGGCGCAAGCCUGAUCCAGCCAUACCGCGUGGGUGAAGAAGGCCCUCGGGUUGUAAAGCCCUUUUGUUGGGAAAGAAAAGCAGCAGGUUAAUACCCCGCUGUUCUGACGGUACCCAAAGAAUAAGCACCGGCUAACUUCGUG
This 492-nucleotide ribosomal RNA is filed under the name uncultured bacterium. RNAcentral's name for it is "partial 16S ribosomal RNA". It matches the Rfam family "Bacterial small subunit ribosomal RNA", at positions 29 to 507 of the family's 1533-position model. The record is from RNAcentral.